This is a non-coding RNA of Coturnix japonica (Japanese quail), 2023 nucleotides long. Lineage: Eukaryota; Metazoa; Chordata; Aves; Galliformes; Phasianidae. The record is from RefSeq and is a predicted model, not a curated record.
AAGAUGGACCACAAGACAGACAGUCUUCUGAAAGCCAUCUUCUCUUAACACAUUUAGAAAGCGGAUCUCCUAAACCCAGACCUUGCUGGGCAGAAGCUGGAAAGAGACUCUAGAACCAAACCUGGCUUUCUGCUGCUCACCCUGGGGCAAACUGCAAUGAGUUCUUGGAGCGCAUUUGGAUACGCAGGUGUCUUCUACUUUGCAAGUGUCAAGGAGUGUCAGAGUUUUGGGAUGAAACCUUCUGUAAUAUCUGACAAGACCACACACUGCUGCCAGGAUUGCUGCUCUCAACCAGACAGGGGACUCGGAGCAUGGAGGAAAGUCUACAGCUCCAAUAUGCCCUGUAAAAGGUAUGAAGAGGGAUUGAAGGACAGGAAUAGUGCUGGGACUCAGAGGACUGAGGCACCUUUUCUUAAGGUGAAGAGGAUUCUGUAGAUCUAAUGGAGACAGUGCUGAGUAGGGCAUGCAGCCUCUUUGCUGUGUAAAUGAACACAACAAUGCAGUGUCCUUUAACAAUGAGUGUGUAGCUUCAUGCUAAGGAUCCUUCAACGGGGGAUCCUGACCCUGUCUUCCACUUGCUCCUGCCCUGUGCAGGGUGCUGCUGCCUCUGCUCUCAUAUCUGGUGUGUCCAGGAGUGGUGAAAGUGAGCUAUCUAAGAAAAAAAUAGAUAAAAUACAGCAAGAAGUGCAUAGUAAAAUAGAUGGGCAGUAGGUCAUUUUAUAGCUCUUUCUUAGCUAAGCUGGUGCAAAUGAAAGGAAUAAUCAGCUCUUGGGGACAGGAGAUGGCAGGGAGGAGGGUGGAUUGUGAAGGCAGGGGAGAAAACUCAAUCAAUGCUGCUACCAAAGUAUUAGAAACAUUAUCAUACACCCUUAAGUAACUGGAAUGGGAUUCAUCUAACUUGUCAAAAAGAGAGGUGUGCAUACGGGCACCAGGCACAUCUGUGGAGUAUCCUAUGCCAUGUGGUAAAUCAGCUCCUGGCUGCCUGAGUUGCUCUUUCUAUCCUUUGUGAGGGAGUCCAGAUGCCCAGCUGACCCAGGUGACUAACUUAGCUAAAGUGAGCUCAGAUUAAUGCUAUUCUUACUCUUCAAUUAGGUUAUUGUCUGAGUUUACAAAUAAAUCCAUAAACUAGUUUGAUUAUGAACAAAUUCUAUAAGCACCUAAGAUUGUACCUAUGUUAAUGAUGAAAAAAAAACCUCUUCUCUGUAGAUUACAUUACUAAAGAAAUGUGAUCAUCCUCCAUUUCGUGUCGUUCUUUGCCAAAUGCAGUUUCUUGCCAAAACUGAAAAAUCAUGUUUAACUGGAGGAAAUUCCUUGAAGGCUUGCCAUCUUCAACAUCACUUCUCUCUUCCAUUGUUUCUAGAAGGAAUAGAACUCCAAAGUACUUUAAACAAAAACGACCUCUGCUUCUCUGUGUCAUUUGAACAUAGCUUAACCUCUUCUCUAAGGACAGCUUGCUUUCAUUCUCCAGAAAGGGAUGAACCAAACCCAUGAAAUUAAAAUGCUGGGACAACUUACCCAAAGAGUCAUUUUAUCUAAUCUUGUACCAAAAUUACUGCUGUGGCUUUAACAUUGUUUUAUGUUUACUGGAUGUAAUAACCAUAGGCAAUGAAUGUGCUAUGUACUGUACGGUAUACAGCAAACACAAUUAGAAUUAAGGUUAUCUAGGUACAGAUUUGAAUAUCAUUUGAAACUAUUUCUUAGGUUGAGAAUACUUGGUUUGGAGAUAAUUGAACAACCAUGUAAAAGACACUGUAAGAGAUAAAUAUGUACUUAGUCAUAAGGCUAUAUUGCUACAGCUUUUGUCUGGUGAUUGUUAUAGCACUGUAAUGCUGUAAGUCAGCAUUAUGGAAUGCAAUAAGUUGUUAUUACCUGGCCAUUGAUCAGAUGAACUGUUGGAUGCUUCUCCAAGCCACCUGAAGCUGGCUGUGCUUUUCCAGUGAAAUCAGUGCAUACAUGCCUGACUGAUCAGAAGAGCUGUGUUUGAUUCAUUAUUAUUACAAUAAAGUUGUUUGUUCACAACUAA